GACGAACGCUGGCGGCGUGCCUAAUACAUGCAAGUAGAACGCUGAAGAGAGGAGCUUGCUCUUCUUGGAUGAGUUGCGAACGGGUGAGUAACGCGUAGGUAACCUGCCUUGUAGCGUGGGAUAACUAUUGGAAACGAUAGCUAAUACCGCAUAACAAUGGAUGACCCAUGUCAUUUAUUUGAAAGGGGCAAAUGCUCCACUACAAGAUGGACCUGCGUUGUAUUAGCUAGUAGGUGAGGUAACGGCUCACCUAGGCGACGAUACAUAGCCGACCUGAGAGGGUGAUCGGCCACACUGGGACUGAGACACGGCCCAGACUCCUACGGGAGGCAGCAGUAGGGAAUCUUCGGCAAUGGGGGCAACCCUGACCGAGCAACGCCGCGUGAGUGAAGAAGGUUUUCGGAUCGUAAAGCUCUGUUGUAAGUCAAGAACGAGUGUGAGAGUGGAAAGUUCACACUGUGACGGUAGCUUACCAGAAAGGGACGGCUAACUACGUG
This 497-nucleotide ribosomal RNA is filed under the name uncultured bacterium. RNAcentral describes it as "partial 16S ribosomal RNA". It matches the Rfam family "Bacterial small subunit ribosomal RNA", at positions 28 to 507 of the family's 1533-position model. The record is from RNAcentral.